AAAACAACUCCCAAAAAAUUGGUUCCUCUAAAAGGUUGCAUCACUACGAGUAAGCUCGUACUUAUAUUCUUAUUAACAUGGCAUAUGCUGCUUGUGAGGGAAUAUCUUGACGUGUCUUUACACGACGGACCAUGCGUUCACCCAUAAGAUUUUUUCUACUUAUCAGUUCUCUAAUUGUUGUUUCUUAUAGAUAAUGUUAUUUAAUUGUUAAGAACGUAAUGAUUUAUAAAUAUUACUUUUAAGUG
Molecule: long non-coding RNA, 245 nt
Filed under: Carica papaya (papaya)
Lineage: Eukaryota; Viridiplantae; Streptophyta; Magnoliopsida; Brassicales; Caricaceae
Description: long non-coding RNA (CPAP_LNC006700)
Source: RNAcentral